Molecule: ribosomal RNA, 498 nt
Filed under: uncultured Pseudomonadota bacterium
Lineage: Bacteria; Pseudomonadati; Pseudomonadota
Description: bacterial SSU rRNA
Rfam family: Bacterial small subunit ribosomal RNA
Source: RNAcentral
UGGGGAAUAUUGGACAAUGGGCGCAAGCCGUGAUCCAGCAAUGCCGCGUGAGUGAAGAAGGCCUUAGGGUUGUAAAGCUCUUUCGCCUGCGACGAUGAUGACGGUAGCAGGAGAAGAAGCCCCGGCUAAUUCCGUGCCAGCAGCCGCGGUAAUACGGAAGGGGCUAGCGUUGUUCGGAAUUACUGGGCGUAAAGCGCGCGUCGGCGGCUUCGCCAGUGCGGCGUGAAAGUCCUGGGCUCAACCUGGGGACGGCGCUGCAGACUGUGAGGCUAGAGUCCGGAAGAGGGUGGUGGAAUUCCGAGUGUAGAGGUGAAAUUCGUAGAUAUUCGGAGGAACACCGGUGGCGAAGGCGGCCACCUGGUCCGGAACUGACGCUCAAGUGCGAAAGCGUGGGGAGCAAACAGGAUUAGAUACCCUGGUAGUCCACGCUGUAAACGAUGGGUGCUAGAUGUCGGGGGGCUUGCUCUUCGGUGUCGUAGCCAACGCGUUAAGCACCCC